This is a long non-coding RNA of Anguilla rostrata (American eel), 922 nucleotides long. RefSeq lists it as uncharacterized. NCBI's taxonomy places the organism in Eukaryota, Metazoa, Chordata, Actinopteri, Anguilliformes, Anguillidae. The transcript has 2 exons. The record is from RefSeq and is a predicted model, not a curated record.
UCGGGCUCAUCCCUACGCUUGCCAUUGUUCAGACUCCGGGCAUGUUUCUCUAGUCUACACAAUACAAGCAAAUAAAAAAAAGUUAAGAAAUUAGGAUGGUGUCGGUCAAUGCAGGUGAGUUCCUAUUUAACCACCAAAAUAAAUUAUUCCUUAUAAAACUGCCUGAACUGUAUCCUUUUCAUGUAACCUACUACAAUCUGUUCAUUCUGGGGCUUGAACAGAAAUGCUAAACAGAAGUUAGAAGAAGUAUAUAUAGCCUAUCAGUUUCAGAUGUGAUGUUGCUUCACUGGGUAAAUCAUCAGACAAUACAAAUCAAGACAAUUAAUCACAGUCGUAGUUACAAUUCAGGUGUGCAGUUGUGGUUAGUUUGGGUUUGAGAACCCCUUAACAAGCCAUGACGCAUUAAUCUGCGCCUGCUGACGACAUAGAUUGCGUGCCCAGUAUCCACUGGGAGGACGGAGCCACAUACGCAAAAGUGUGGAGUUAUUUGACAUUGUACAGGCAUCAGGCAUGUAAUGGCCGGACUGAGCGAAGAGGCGGGAUUCAGGGUCAAAAUGGCGGACUGGACUCACCGGCUGUGGCUGCUCUGCUAUGCAGCAGCUGAAGCAGAACCAGAACUCGCUCAUGCUCAACGGUCCUUACGUGUCCAUUCCUGCUCAAGAUGGCCGCCGGGGAUAUAAAGAGGCAACAGAGAUGGACACGGGACGUGCGUCUCGGUGGAGGCCGUGCUCAGGUUUUAACGCGUUUGAGGUGUGCGAGAUCGCAUCAGGAACAGCCAAGCCAACCCUGGACCAGGAAGGAGACCGCCACAGCAGGUUAUUCCCCAGCACGAAUCAGCAAGACCUGCAACAAGGCGAGAAUAAACACGGCCUUUAGUUCAAUAUAUUAAACAUUUACUGCCGUCAUUAAACACACAAUAAUA